CGCUGGCGGCGUGCUUAACACAUGCAAGUCGAACGGAAAGGCCCUGCUUUUGUGGGGUGCUCGAGUGGCGAACGGGUGAGUAACACGUGAGUAACCUGCCCUUGACUUUGGGAUAACUUCAGGAAACUGGGGCUAAUACCGGAUAGGAGCUCCUGCUGCAUGGUGGGGGUUGGAAAGUUUCGGCGGUUGGGGAUGGACUCGCGGCUUAUCAGCUUGUUGGUGGGGUAGUGGCUUACCAAGGCUUUGACGGGUAGCCGGCCUGAGAGGGCGACCGGCCACAUUGGGACUGAGAUACGGCCCAGACUCCUACGGGAGGCAGCAGUGGGGAAUAUUGCACAAUGGGCGGAAGCCUGAUGCAGCAACGCCGCGUGCGGGAUGACGGCCUUCGGGUUGUAAACCGCUUUCGCCUGUGACGAAGCGUGAGUGACGGUAAUGGGUAAAGAAGCACCGGCUAACUACGUGCCAGCAGCCGCGGUGAUACGUAGGGUGCGAGCGUUGUCCGGAUUUAUUGGGCGUAAAGGGCUCGUAGGUGGUUGAUCGCGUCGGAAGUGUAAUCUUGGGGCUUAACCCUGAGCGUGCUUUCGAUACGGGUUGACUUGAGGAAGGUAGGGGAGAAUGGAAUUCCUGGUGGAGCGGUGGAAUGCGCAGAUAUCAGGAGGAACACCAGUGGCGAAGGCGGUUCUCUGGGCCUUUCCUGACGCUGAGGAGCGAAAGCGUGGGGAGCGAACAGGCUUAGAUACCCUGGUAGUCCACGCUGUAAACGGUGGGUACUAGGUGUGGGGUCCAUUCCACGGGUUCCGUGCCGUAGCUAACGCUUUAAGUACCCCGCCUGGGGAGUACGGCCGCAAGGCUAAAACUCAAAGGAAUUGACGGGGCCCCGCACAAGCGGCGGAGCAUGCGGAUUAAUUCGAUGCAACGCGUAGAACCUUACCUGGGUUUGACAUGGAUCGGGAGUGCUCAGAGAUGGGUGUGCCUCUUUUGGGGUCGGUUCACAGGUGGUGCAUGGCUGUCGUCAGCUCGUGUCGUGAGAUGUUGGGUUAAGUCCCGCAACGAGCGCAACCCUUGUUCACUGUUGCCAGCACGUUAUGGUGGGGACUCAGUGGAGACCGCCGGGGUCAACUCGGAGGAAGGUGGGGAUGACGUCAAGUCAUCAUGCCCCUUAUGUCCAGGGCUUCACGCAUGCUACAAUGGCUGGUACAGAGAGUGGCGAGCCUGUGAGGGUGAGCGAAUCUCGGAAAGCCGGUCUCAGUUCGGAUUGGGGUCUGCAACUCGACCUCAUGAAGUCGGAGUCGCUAGUAAUCGCAGAUCAGCAACGCUGCGGUGAAUACGUUCCCGGGGCUUGUACACACCGCCCGUCAAGUCAUGAAAGUUGGUAACACCCGAAGCCGGUGGCCUAACCGUUGUGGGGGAGCCGUCGAAGGUGGGACUGGUGAUA
Molecule: ribosomal RNA, 1435 nt
Filed under: uncultured organism
Description: partial small subunit ribosomal RNA
Rfam family: Bacterial small subunit ribosomal RNA
Source: RNAcentral